Molecule: ribosomal RNA, 253 nt
Filed under: uncultured bacterium
Lineage: Bacteria
Description: partial 16S ribosomal RNA
Rfam family: Bacterial small subunit ribosomal RNA
Source: RNAcentral
UACGAAGGGGGCUAGCGUUGUUCGGAUUUACUGGGCGUAAAGCGCACGUAGGCGGAUCGUUAAGUCGGGGGUGAAAUCCUGGAGCUCAACUCCAGAACUGCCUUCGAUACUGGCGAUCUUGAGUCCGGAAGAGGUGAGUGGAACUCCUAGUGUAGAGGUGGAAUUCGUAGAUAUUAGGAAGAACACCGGUGGCGAAGGCGGCUCACUGGACCGGUACUGACGCUGAGGUGCGAAAGCGUGGGGAGCAAACAGG